GAUGAAGAACGCAGCGAAAUGCGAUAAGUAAUGUGAAUUGCAGAAUUCAGUGAAUCAUCGAAUCUUUGAACGAACAUUGCGCCCGCCAGUAUUCUGGCGGGCAUGCCUGUUCGAGCGUCAUUUCAACCAUCAAGCCCCCGGCUUGUGUUGGGGACCUGCGGCUGCCGCAGGCCCUGAAAAGCAGUGGCGGGCUCGCUGUCACACCGAGCGUAGUAGCAUACAUCUCGCUCUGGGCGUGCUGCGGGUUCCGGCCGUUAAACCACCUUCAUAACCCAAGGUUGACCUCGGAUCAGGUAGGAAGACCCGCUGAACUUAAGCAUAUCAAUAAGCGGAGGA
Molecule: unclassified non-coding RNA, 336 nt
Filed under: soil metagenome
Description: partial contains 5.8S ribosomal RNA, internal transcribed spacer 2, and large subunit ribosomal RNA
Rfam family: 5.8S ribosomal RNA (bases 1-120)
Source: RNAcentral